This is a long non-coding RNA of Dermochelys coriacea (leatherback sea turtle), 1453 nucleotides long. RefSeq lists it as uncharacterized. The record is from RefSeq and is a predicted model, not a curated record. Lineage: Eukaryota; Metazoa; Chordata; Testudines; Dermochelyidae. The transcript is spliced from 3 exons.
GCUCAGCACUUCUGCAAAUCAUACUGCAGUGUAUCAGGUCAGACACCCAUAAAAUAAGGAACACAUGAGUGACUAGCUGUGAAAAGUCUGGUGUAACUAACAUAGGAGCUCUGUAGCAGUGAUAUUGUUAGAAUCCAGUUCUCCAGGAGUGCAUUCAACUGCCUUAACCAUGAGACUAUUCUCUCUUUUCUUGCUAACCACUGCCUCAUUUACUACACACCUUCCAACUUCUUCAACAAAGGGGGUAGGGGUCCUACAGACAACAGCUUCCUUUACUAUAUAACAUUGGUUCAUCCUGUGGAAAAAGUAAUAUGAAUUUUAGCUGACAGUAUUGUUUAUGAAAGAAAGAAGCUCAGUUUGUUGAAAAGCUUGGGGACUGAAGUCCUCCAUCUAUACACCAGCACUAAAAGGGAAGUUGCUACACACUGUGUACUGUUUUGUGGACUGCCUUCUUAGAGCCAGAACUGUACAAGCCUCAGGAUUAUAUACACUGAAAAUAAGUUUGCUAACGGAGUUGAACAAAUAGAGUAAACAAAUUGCACUGAUAUUCAUUUGAAUUUUCAAGCUAAUUUUUAUGCCUAUAUGCUUUGAAUAUAUUUGUACUCUUAUGUUUCCUUCAUGUGAAUAUUCUGUGGAAUGGAAUUUAGUGGCAGGAAUGUUAGUAGAAACAGCAACAUUUUAAAAGAUUACUAGAGAAUACUUGUGGAAAGUGAUUUUGGAAUUCUGAAACAUGGAAUUGGCAUGGAAACCUAUUCCUAGGAAAUACAUUUAUCCAAUCAGGCAACAGAAACAUAUCACAUGACCUAUGUGUCCAAUCAAUACUAAUCCACUCAGUUCAAAUUUCUUAUGUUAAACGCUUCCUGGGAACUGCUCUUGAAUUAUUUGCUUAAAUUAUUUGGAGAAUAAUUUUCAAUAAUGCAUUAAUUUGAGGAAAAAAACCCCAUCAGCUCUUUGCUGAUGAUUUACAAACAGAAAGGGAGGCAGAAUUAAUUAAACAAUAUAUUCAUUUUGAAGGAUUCACCCAGCUUGGUGUCUAAUACAAUAUCUUUAUGCAAAGUAUACACAGUACAUAGUUUUCUGAAAUGUAUUAGAGUAUCAAUCUUUUAUAGCUAAUUUGCAACAGAAUCAUUUUGAUUUAGAAAAGUUUGAACUAAAACCACCUUGCUUUUUACACACAUACCCUACUAUUUUCCUCAGAAAAAUUGCAGGGCUCAGGUAGCUGUCCUUUUGUAUGCUUAGCACAUUGUGUUUUGCUGUACCAUAUAGACCUAGAAAUUAUUAUUGCCCCAUAUAAGUAUAAACAAUGAAAACUGACAAUGCCAUCCAACAUUUACUAAAUCAGGCAAAACUGUCAAAAUGUGUGUAUUGAUGUGAAACUUUCAAUGCAAUGUUUGUAAAAAAUACUUUUUUGUCUUUUGAAAAAAGUUGAAGAUGUUUUUAUAAAAAUAUACUG